GUUAUAGAACGUAAGAGUGGCCUGGGGGUAAAGUAGCGAGUUGGUUGGUUAGAAGAAAGAAUCAUAAGAGCUAGGCAGUGAGGGUUUACAUGGACCCACGUCUCUCACGGGAAAUUGUAGAAAUAGCCAGAGAUAGCCAGGUGGAAGGGUGUGAUUGUCUCCUGUGGAUGUGGGGACGCCUUGCGUUCCCUUUUGGCGGAGAGGGAGGGUUGAGGUGGCCAACCAACUCGCUACUUUACCCCCAGGCCACUCUUACGUUCUAUAAC
Molecule: microRNA precursor, 266 nt
Filed under: Trypanosoma vivax Y486
Lineage: Eukaryota; Euglenozoa; Kinetoplastea; Trypanosomatida; Trypanosomatidae
Source: RNAcentral